UAAGCUGGAUUGGUUCUAGGAAAACACUCUGGAAAGAGUGGCCAUAGAAGGUGACAGCCCUGUAUCUGAAAGGGCCAUUCCAGUGAAGACGAGUAGGGCGGGGCACGUGAAACCCUGUCUGAACAUGGGGGGACCAUCCUCCAAGGCUAAAUACUACUGACCGACCGAUAGUGAACCAGUACCGUGAGGGAAAGGCGAAAAGAACCCCGGAGAGGGGAGUGAAAUAGAACCUGAAACCGUGUGCGUACAAGCAGUAGGAGCUCCGCAAGGAGUGACUGCGUACCUUUUGUAUAAUGGGUCAGCGACUUACUGUUCGUGGCAAGCUUAACCGUAUAGGGGAGGCGAAGGGAAACCGAGUCUGAUAAGGGCGCAUAGUCGCGGGCAGUAGACCCGAAACCGGGUGAUCUAGUCAUGCCCAGGGUGAAGGUGCGGUAACACGCACUGGAGGCCCGAACCCACUCCCGUUGCAAAGGUAGGGGAUGAGGUGUGAUUAGGAGUGAAAAGCUAAUCGAACCCGGAGAUAGCUGGUUCUCCUCGAAAGCUAUUUAGGUAGCGCCUCAUAUGUAUCCUCUCGGGGGUAGAGCACUGUUAUGGCUAGGGGGUCAUCGCGACUUACCAAACCAUUGCAAACUCCGAAUACCGAGACGGACUGUAUGGGAGACACACGGCGGGUGCUAACGUCCGUCGUGAAAAGGGAAACAACCCAGACCCACAGCUAAGGUCCCAAAUUCAGUGCUAAGUGGAAAACCAUGUGGAAAGGCACAGACAGCCAGGAG
This 776-nucleotide ribosomal RNA is filed under the name Stenotrophomonas maltophilia. RNAcentral describes it as "bacterial LSU rRNA". It matches the Rfam family "Bacterial large subunit ribosomal RNA", at positions 314 to 1099 of the family's 2925-position model. Lineage: Bacteria; Pseudomonadati; Pseudomonadota; Gammaproteobacteria; Lysobacterales; Lysobacteraceae. The record is from RNAcentral.